ACGUAGGUGGCAAGCGUUGUUCGGAAUCACUGGGCAUAAAGCGCGCGUAGGCGGCGAAGUAAGUCGGGUGUGAAAUCCCUCGGCUCAACCGAGGAACUGCGCCCGAUACUGCUUUGCUUGAGGGCCGGAGGGGAGAGUGGAAUUCCCGGUGGAGCGGUGAAAUGCGUAGAGAUCGGGAAGAACGCCGGCGGCGAAAGCGACUCUCUGGUCGGUACCUGACGCUGAGGCGCGAAAGCUAGGGGAGCAAACGGGA
This 253-nucleotide ribosomal RNA is filed under the name uncultured prokaryote. Its description in RNAcentral is "partial 16S ribosomal RNA". It matches the Rfam family "Bacterial small subunit ribosomal RNA", at positions 525 to 777 of the family's 1533-position model. The record is from RNAcentral.